This 656-nucleotide ribosomal RNA is filed under the name Salmonella enterica. Its description in RNAcentral is "bacterial SSU rRNA". It matches the Rfam family "Bacterial small subunit ribosomal RNA", at positions 889 to 1533 of the family's 1533-position model. The record is from RNAcentral. Lineage: Bacteria; Pseudomonadati; Pseudomonadota; Gammaproteobacteria; Enterobacterales; Enterobacteriaceae.
CAAGGUUAAAACUCAAAUGAAUUGACGGGGGCCCGCACAAGCGGUGGAGCAUGUGGUUUAAUUCGAUGCAACGCGAAGAACCUUACCUGGUCUUGACAUCCACGGAAGAAUUCAGAGAUGGAUUUGUGCCUUCGGGAACCGUGAGACAGGUGCUGCAUGGCUGUCGUCAGCUCGUGUUGUGAAAUGUUGGGUUAAGUCCCGCAACGAGCGCAACCCUUAUCCUUUGUUGCCAGCGGUCCGGCCGGGAACUCAAAGGAGACUGCCAGUGAUAAACUGGAGGAAGGUGGGGAUGACGUCAAGUCAUCAUGGCCCUUACGACCAGGGCUACACACGUGCUACAAUGGCGCAUACAAAGAGAAGCGACCUCGCGAGAGCAAGCGGACCUCAUAAAGUGCGUCGUAGUCCGGAUUGGAGUCUGCAACUCGACUCCAUGAAGUCGGAAUCGCUAGUAAUCGUGGAUCAGAAUGCCACGGUGAAUACGUUCCCGGGCCUUGUACACACCGCCCGUCACACCAUGGGAGUGGGUUGCAAAAGAAGUAGGUAGCUUAACCUUCGGGAGGGCGCUUACCACUUUGUGAUUCAUGACUGGGGUGAAGUCGUAACAAGGUAACCGUAGGGGAACCUGCGGUUGGAUCACCUCCUUACCUUAAAGAAGC